UCUCAGCCAGGCGUGAUCUUGGGGACAUUUGUCCUUGCUACAACGGGGGCUGGUGCUCGCUCCUAGCAUCUAUUGGGUAGAAGUCAGGAACUGCUCAGUUUAGGACAGCUUUCUGCAACAAGGAAAUAUCCAGUCCAAACUGUUAAUGGGCCGCUGUUGAGAAGCCCUGUUCCUGGCCAUUACCGCUUUUUUUUAAAAAGUGGCCCGCCUUAAAGCUGAUGCCUUUCUAUAACUGACUGCCCCUCCGUGGUUCAGCAUCUACACAGCCCCACGUCCCUCCUCGUUCCUUGAAGAUUUUAGCACCCAGCUUGUUGCCGCUGCAGAACCAGAGUAAUUCAGUAUCCACACAGCCUUCUUAAUUCCAUGACCCGUUCUCUGUUCUUGUUCCCCCUACCUCAGCCAUACAGUCGGUCACCCCCCGGACCUGGCUGGAUUCCAACUGCACCGUCUGCAGAGUUUGAAUUUCCAGCCUCCUACGACCACAAGCUCCCAUCUCUCUGGCUCACCCGCUGUUUCUGCUCCUGUGUCAAACAUCGCAUCGGAGCGGUCUCUAGCUACCUUGGAUAAGAUAGCAUCUCCCCACCCCAGGACUCUGUAUCACCCUUAUUCGGCUUCCUCACCACCUCACACACAUACUCUACUUGUUUAAUGUCUGUUCUCUCAUAUGACACUCGGCUCUGUGAAGACAGGGACUUGACAUUAUCGAUUAUAUUGUCCCCAUGUAGGACAGUUCCUGGCACACAGGAGAGGCUUAAUCAUUUUGUUGAAUAAAUAAAGGUAUCAUUUGGUACA
Long non-coding RNA from Neofelis nebulosa (Clouded leopard), 792 nucleotides. RefSeq lists it as uncharacterized. The transcript has 2 exons. Lineage: Eukaryota; Metazoa; Chordata; Mammalia; Carnivora; Felidae. The record is from RefSeq and is a predicted model, not a curated record.